Molecule: long non-coding RNA, 777 nt
Organism: Clupea harengus (Atlantic herring)
Lineage: Eukaryota; Metazoa; Chordata; Actinopteri; Clupeiformes; Clupeidae
Source: Ensembl
UAUUAAAAAAAUAUUGGACCAUUAACUUUAGUCAAAACGACAUUAUGCUACAUCUUCAAAUUCAAUUAGAAGAGUUGAAUAUUGCAUGAUUAAGAGGUUAACCACUUACUCUGAGUUAACUUAGCCAGGUUUGUCACCAAACUACGUACUUUGAAUACUCCCCAGGAAGUGACAUCGAAAGUAAAUAGACAGUUGGUGUUGAGGAAGCUGUGUUAUAAUCCAAAAGCGCAAACCGUCUCGAUUUAAGGAAGUGACAUCGAAAGUAAACAGUUGGAGUUGAGGAAGCUGUGUUAUAAUCCAAAAGCGCAAACCGUCUUGAUUUUAGCAACACUGGAUUAUUGCAGACAGAAUUUAACAGAAGCAGAAGUCUAAAUGAGAGAGACAGGUGUGUAUGUAUGUGUGUGUGUGUGUGUGUGUGUGUGUGUGUGUGUGUGUGUGUGUGUGUGUGUGUGUGUGUGUGUGUGUGUGUGUGUAUGUAAGUGUGUAUAUAGAGUGUGCAUUUCUGGCGAAAUCAAAUGAUUGUCUUUCCUCCUUGAUCAGGUUUGCAUUCUUCUUAGCCUAAUAUCUCUGGCCUAAAUAUCUGAAAGUAAUCAGUAAUGUAGGUGUGCUUCAGGCAAUUAUGACAGACAACAAAAUACAAUGAAUAUCUUUUCACUAAUAAACAUAUUCGAGUGAAACUGGAAUCUGAAUUAAGACUGGAAAGAAGGAGUAAUGUCAUCAGAUUUCAGAUGGCAACUUCGAUUAAGUUAUCACAGUAAAUCCCAUCGAUUAUGUGUG